RNAcentral lists this ribosomal RNA (695 nucleotides) under Salmonella enterica. RNAcentral's name for it is "bacterial SSU rRNA". It matches the Rfam family "Bacterial small subunit ribosomal RNA", at positions 827 to 1522 of the family's 1533-position model. RNAcentral also lists the same sequence under 1 other name. The record is from RNAcentral. Lineage: Bacteria; Pseudomonadati; Pseudomonadota; Gammaproteobacteria; Enterobacterales; Enterobacteriaceae.
UGCCCUUGAGGCGUGGCUUCCGGAGCUAACGCGUUAAGUAGACCGCCUGGGGAGUACGGCCGCAAGGUUAAAACUCAAAUGAAUUGACGGGGGCCCGCACAAGCGGUGGAGCAUGUGGUUUAAUUCGAUGCAACGCGAAGAACCUUACCUGGUCUUGACAUCCACAGAAGAAUCCAGAGAUGGAUUUGUGCCUUCGGGAACUGUGAGACAGGUGCUGCAUGGCUGUCGUCAGCUCGUGUUGUGAAAUGUUGGGUUAAGUCCCGCAACGAGCGCAACCCUUAUCCUUUGUUGCCAGCGGUUAGGCCGGGAACUCAAAGGAGACUGCCAGUGAUAAACUGGAGGAAGGUGGGGAUGACGUCAAGUCAUCAUGGCCCUUACGACCAGGGCUACACACGUGCUACAAUGGCGCAUACAAAGAGAAGCGACCUCGCGAGAGCAAGCGGACCUCAUAAAGUGCGUCGUAGUCCGGAUUGGAGUCUGCAACUCGACUCCAUGAAGUCGGAAUCGCUAGUAAUCGUGGAUCAGAAUGCCACGGUGAAUACGUUCCCGGGCCUUGUACACACCGCCCGUCACACCAUGGGAGUGGGUUGCAAAAGAAGUAGGUAGCUUAACCUUCGGGAGGGCGCUUACCACUUUGUGAUUCAUGACUGGGGUGAAGUCGUAACAAGGUAACCGUAGGGGAACCUGCGGUUGGA